This 253-nucleotide ribosomal RNA is filed under the name uncultured bacterium. RNAcentral's name for it is "partial 16S ribosomal RNA". It matches the Rfam family "Bacterial small subunit ribosomal RNA", at positions 524 to 776 of the family's 1533-position model. The record is from RNAcentral.
UACGUAGGUGACAAGCGUUGUCCGGAUUUACUGGGCGUAAAGAGCGCGCAGGCGGUCGAUCAAGUCGAGUGUGAAAGCCCCCGGCUCAACUGGGGAGGGUCAUUCGAUACUGAUCGACUCGAAGGCAGGAGAGGGUAGUGGAAUUCCCGGUGUAGUGGUGAAAUGCGUAGAUAUUGGGAGGAACACCAGUGGCGAAGGCGGCUCACUGGACCGGUACUGACGCUGAUGCGCGAAAGCGUGGGGAGCAAACGGG